UUUCCCUCAGGAUAGCUGGCACUCGCUUGAGCGAGUCUCAUCUGGUAAAGCGAAUGAUUAGAGGCCUUGGGGCCGAAACGACCUCAACCUAUUCUCAAACUUUAAAUGGGUGAGAUCUCUGGCUUGCUUGAACGUUGAAGCCAUGAGAUUAAAUAUUUUUUAUUUUUUCAAUGGAUCAGAGUGCCAAGUGGGCCAAUUUUGGUAAGCAGAACUGGCGCUGUGGGA
This 225-nucleotide ribosomal RNA is filed under the name Aperilampus sp. D0900. Its description in RNAcentral is "partial 28S ribosomal RNA". It matches the Rfam family "Eukaryotic large subunit ribosomal RNA", at positions 967 to 1163 of the family's 3401-position model. The record is from RNAcentral. Lineage: Eukaryota; Metazoa; Arthropoda; Insecta; Hymenoptera; Perilampidae.